Molecule: long non-coding RNA, 2457 nt
Organism: Cyprinus carpio carpio
Lineage: Eukaryota; Metazoa; Chordata; Actinopteri; Cypriniformes; Cyprinidae
Source: Ensembl
UUUGUAUACUAUAUUGUUUUACUGCCUCACAAUGCAAAUCAUUCAAUCUGUAUUUAUCUGUGCUGUAUUUGCGUACUUUUUCUUGAUGCCAUUUGUUUACCUUGUACUUUUUACUACUGCAUUUAAUUUUUGUCUCUUUAUAAGUUUCAUUCUCAUCAUAUCUUUGCUUAGUUUCCAUUUUUUUAUUUUCUUUAAAAUCAUGAUCACGACUAUAUUGCAGUCUCUGCUUAUAAAGCUUACGUGGGUCUGAGCUAGUUUUUAAAUAGGUUGAACCUUGAGAAGAUGCUUUACAAAAGCAAGCACAGGUAUUGUUGUUGGUUUUUACACAUACAACAACUUCAUAAUGACAGCUAUUCACAUGAUGCAAAUAAAUUCCCUUGUCUUGACAGCUCUGUCUAUUAGAGGAGACAUUUGAAGAUUUAUAUUUAAGCCAUUUGUCUUGACUAUAUGUAAAAAUGUCUACACCAAUUAAAUCACUGGCUGCUUGUAUUUCCAUCUCUGUCGCCCAAUUUCCAACAAAUUUCAUUCUUGAUGUGGCAAUGUACUCCGGUACAGAGCUGUAUCCUUGUCUGAGAUACUGUACAUACUUUUCUUCAUUCUGCAGUAUGUGUGUAACUACAGCCCGUCUUACUUUUCUGUGUUCUCGUUCCGUUCCACUUACACCAUAGGCUAAGGCUCGAAAAAAGCAGUUAGCGUCUUUAACAAUUUUCAUAGUUUCACAAGGCUCAGAAAUUUCCAUUGGCAUCACAUUUGGAUUAUUUUGUUCUUUUACAACAUUUGCAAUGUUCAGCUUUAAGCAAACACUAUUUUGUUGCUCAAGUGUUAAUGGACUAAACUGUAUAGAAUCACUGGCACUUUCUGAAAUAAAUUCAACAUCACCUGCAUUUCCAUGAGCUGUGUAUGAAGCCAUUUCCCUUUUCUGUUCUACACAAGUUUCGUUCACAGAGUUUACAAAAUCACUCAGAGAUUGAGUGCAGCCAACAUCACCUUCAGUCUCUUUCACUGCUCGUUCAGUGUUCUGGAUCACUGGACAGAAUGGCUUACCCUGUUGAUCGUUUCUGUCAAUCAUAACUGCAUUGACCCCAGUUACCUCAAACUCAUGGUAACGUGCAUUAAUAGACGCAGCGAGUUUCCGGAAAUGAACAAUCAGAGAAUGCAAGUCACGAUGGUAAACCACUACACUCUUACCGUCAGCUACACAUCUGCCAUCAAAGCGUCUUGAAUGUGGAUCAAUCACUGCAUACCAGGAACCUUCUCUGACAGCUGCACAUAUGGUUAGCUUAAUAUUCACUAAGCAUGCAUCAAACCUCUGGAAUGCUCGAUUUACUGCUUCAUCAAAUGACAUUGCAUACCCUCGUAGUUCACCAUCAUAUUUAUUGACACCAAACAAGCCAGUCAAUGUUUCACCAUAGUUUAUUGAAAACUGACAAUCUUUCAGAGUGUGUGUGUCUGGUAGCUCAUGAACAGCUAUGAAGCCUGAUUCAGGAUCGUUGAUCUUCCCUGCGUCUCUCAUUGCACUGUACAGCUCAUUUCCGUGGAUCAAAACAGCAUUCAGGUCACUUCUUGUCCACUGCAACACACUUUUCAUCUUACACAUCACAAUUGCAGUUAAACUGUUUGCACCACAUUGGCUUCCCCUAUUCCAGCCAAAACGGUAAUCUCCUUGAUGGAAAGAGCCUCUGAUAUAGGAAGUCUGUGGAGACAAAGAAGAAACAGCAUGCAUAGUCAUCUCAGCAUCUUUUGGAAACUUUGGCAUAGACUUUGAAUUAGCGUCUGAAUCAGACUUUGGGUCAGAGUUUGGGUAAGAUUCGGAAUAUUUGGCAAAUUCGGAACAAUCGGAAAAUUCGGAACAAUCGGCAAAUUCGGAACAAUUGGCAAAAGUAGGAUCAGGCUCUUGUAUUUCUUUUCUUUUUUUAACAGGUGGCAAGAUCUCUUCAGGAUUAGCAGCUAGCCGGUUCACGAUUCUCUUCUUGGCUGCCUGAGAACGCUGAGACUGCUUCGUCCGAGGCAUCUGUAAAUACACAGAAUAUAGGAAGAUAAAUUAAAUGACAUAUUACUGCAUAAUAAUUAACAAACAACACAGUAAAGAGAAAAUAAUAAGAUUGCACUAAAAGCCAUUCUCUACAAACAACCCUGUUUUAAUUAGAGCUAUACUGACAUCUAGUGGUGAAAUCAUAAAGUUACAUAGAAUUUUAUUUCUUUCUUUAUACAUACAAGUCUGUGUGGGUCUAUGUGUAUUCACACACAGCAAUUCAAAAGCAUUGAAGCAAAACUAACUUAUGAUCAUAAAGGAUAAAUCAUUAUUCAAAUUACAUCACCACCACCAAUUACUCAUUAUUUUUUUCAUUAUUUCAAAAUGUGCUAAACAACAAACCAAAGCAAAAUUAUUUAAACUGGAAAGGAGAAAGUGGAAAAUCAAGCCAAAAAUCAUGUAGUGUAGUUUAAGAGACUAUAGAC